AGCGUUGUUCGGAAUCAUUGGGCGUAAAGCGGGUGUAGGUGGCUUUGUAAGUCAGGUGUGAAAGCCCAGGGCUCAACCCUGGAAGUGCAUUUGAUACUGCUAAGCUUGAGUGUUGGAGAGGUUAGUAGAAUUCUUGGUGUAGUGGUGAAAUACGUAGAUAUCAAGAGGAAUACCGGUGGCGAAGGCGGGUAACUGGCCCAACACUGACACUCAGACCCGAAAGCGUGGGGAUCAAACAGGAUUAGAUACCCUGGUAGUCCACGCCGUAAACGAUGGAUACUUGUUGUUGGAGGUAUUGACCCCUUCAGUGACGAAGCUAACGCGUUAAGUAUCCCGCCUGGGGAGUACGGUCGCAAGGAUAAAACUCAAAGAAAUUGACGGGGGCCCGCACAAGCCGUGGAGCAUGUGGUUUAAUCCGUUGCAACCCGAAAAACCUUACCUGGG
Molecule: ribosomal RNA, 444 nt
Filed under: uncultured Bdellovibrio sp.
Lineage: Bacteria; Pseudomonadati; Bdellovibrionota; Bdellovibrionia; Bdellovibrionales; Pseudobdellovibrionaceae
Description: bacterial SSU rRNA
Rfam family: Bacterial small subunit ribosomal RNA
Source: RNAcentral